GCAUAUCAAUAAGCGGAGGAAAAGAAACCAACAGGGAUUACCUCAGUAACGGCGAGUGAAGCGGUAACAGCUCAAAUUUGAAAGCUAGCUCUUUUAGGGUUCGCAUUGUAAUUUGUAGAAGAUGCUUCGGGUGUGGCCCCGGUCUAAGUUCCUUGGAACAGGACGUCAUAGAGGGUGAGAAUCCCGUAUGUGACUGGGUGCUUUCGCUCAUGUGAAGCUCUUUCGACGAGUCGAGUUGUUUGGGAAUGCAGCUCAAAAUGGGUGGUAAAUUUCAUCUAAAGCUAAAUAUUGGCCAGAGACCGAUAGCGCACAAGUAGAGUGAUCGAAAGAUGAAAAGCACUUUGGAAAGAGAGUUAAACAGUACGUGAAAUUGUUGAAAGGGAAGCGCUUGCAACCAGACUUGCGCGCUGAUGAUCAUCCGGGCUUCUGCCCGGUGCACUCGUCUGCGCUCAGGCCAGCAUCGGUUUCGGUGGUGGGAUAAAGGCCUUGGGAAUGUAGCUUCUUUCGGGGAGUGUUAUAGCCCUCGGUGCAAUGCCGCCUACCGGGACCGAGGACCGCGCUUCGGCUAGGAUGCUGGCGUAAUGGUUGUAAGCGACCCGUCUUGAAACACGGACCAAGGAGUCUAACAUCUAUGCGAGUGUUUGGGUGUCAAACCCAUACGCGUAAUGAAAGUGAACGGAGGUGAGAACCCUUAAGGGUGCAUCAUCGACCGAUCCUGAUGUCUUCGGAUGGAUUUGAGUAAGAGCAUAGCUGUUGGGACCCGAAAGAUGGUGAACUAUGCGUGAAUAGGGUGAAGCCAGAGGAAACUCUGGUGGAGGCUCGCAGCGGUUCUGACGUGCAAAUCGAUCGUCAAAUUUGCGUAUAGGGGCGAAAGACUAAUCGAACCAUCUAGUAGCUGGUUCCUGCCGAAGU
This 912-nucleotide ribosomal RNA is filed under the name Mollisia cinerella. RNAcentral's name for it is "LSU rRNA". It matches the Rfam family "Eukaryotic large subunit ribosomal RNA", at positions 38 to 967 of the family's 3401-position model. The record is from RNAcentral. Lineage: Eukaryota; Fungi; Ascomycota; Leotiomycetes; Helotiales; Mollisiaceae.